CGCCGCGUGGGUGAUGAAGGUCUUCGGAUCGUAAAGCCCUGUCGGAAGGGAAGAAAAACACGGAAGCUAAUAUCCUCCGUGCUUGACGGUACCUUUAAAGGAAGCACCGGCUAACUACGUGCCAGCAGCCGCGGUAAUACGUAGGGUGCUAGCGUUGUUCGGAAUCAUUGGGCGUAAAGCGAGUGCAGGCCGUUAAAUAAGUCGGAUGUGAAAUCCCUGGGCUCAACCGAGGAAGUGCAUUCGAAACUAUUUAGCUAGAAGAUGGUAGAGGAAGGUGGAAUUCCAAGUGUAGAGGUGAAAUUCGUAGAUAUUUGGAGGAAUACCGGUGGCGAAGGCGGCCUUCUGGACCAUUCUUGACGCUGAGACUCGAAAGCGUGGGUAGCAAACAGGAUUAGAUACCCUGGUAGUCCACGCCCUAAACGAUGGGUACUAGGUGUUGCAGGAAUUGACCCUUGCAGUGCCGUAGCUAACGCAUUAAGUACCCCG
RNAcentral lists this ribosomal RNA (486 nucleotides) under uncultured bacterium. RNAcentral describes it as "bacterial SSU rRNA". It matches the Rfam family "Bacterial small subunit ribosomal RNA", at positions 395 to 871 of the family's 1533-position model. The record is from RNAcentral.